This is a non-coding RNA of Capsicum annuum, 107 nucleotides long. NCBI's taxonomy places the organism in Eukaryota, Viridiplantae, Streptophyta, Magnoliopsida, Solanales, Solanaceae. The record is from Rfam.
UGAUGAUAGUGAGGGCAAUUUCUGAGCAUAUUUUUAAAUCUCUCCUAAGCUUGGUGGAGGUUCUCUCCUUCUUUCUAUCUGAAACUCAGAAUCUCGCUUCUCAGACA